AACGCGAAGAACCUUACCUGGGCUUGAACCGCACAGGACCAGCUUCAGAAAUGAGGCCUUCCCGCAAGGGACCGGUGACAGGUGCUGCAUGGCUGUCGUCAGCUCGUGUCGUGAGAUGUUGGGUUAAGUCCCGCAACGAGCGCAACCCUCGCCUCUAGUUGCCAGCAUUAAGUUGGGCACUCUAGAGGGACUGCCGGUGAUAAGCCGCGAGGAAGGUGGGGAUGACGUCAAGUCCUCAUGGCCCUUACGGGCUGGGCUACACACGUGCUACAAUGGCGGUGACAGUGGGACGCGGAGGGGUGACCCCGAGCAAAUCUCAAAAAGCCGUCUCAGUUCAGAUUGCACUCUGCAACUCGAGUGCAUGAAGGUGGAAUCGCUAGUAAUCGUAGAUCAGCAUGCUACGGUGAAUACGUUCCGGGCCUUGUACAACCGCUACAGU
This 439-nucleotide ribosomal RNA is filed under the name uncultured bacterium. RNAcentral's name for it is "bacterial SSU rRNA". It matches the Rfam family "Bacterial small subunit ribosomal RNA", at positions 958 to 1387 of the family's 1533-position model. The record is from RNAcentral.